RNAcentral lists this ribosomal RNA (377 nucleotides) under uncultured eukaryote. Its description in RNAcentral is "partial 18S ribosomal RNA". It matches the Rfam family "Eukaryotic small subunit ribosomal RNA", at positions 592 to 976 of the family's 1831-position model. The record is from RNAcentral.
CAAUAGCGUAUAUUUAAGUUGCUGCAGUUAAAAAGUUCGUAGUUGGAUUUCGGGUGGGAAUGGCCGGUCCGCCGUUUCGGUGUGCACUUGCUACGCCCACCUUGCUGCCGGGGACGUGCUCUUGAGUUCACGCUCGGGACACGGAGUCGGCGAGGUUACUUUGAGUAAAUUAGAGUGUUCAAAGCAGGCCUACGCUCUGAAUACAUUAGCAUGGAAUAACACGAUAGGACUCUGGCCUAUCUUGUUGGUCUGUAGGACCGGAGUAAUGAUUAAGAGGGACAGUCGGGGGCAUUCGUAUUUCAUUGUCAGAGGUGAAAUUCUUGGAUUUAUGAAAGACGAACUACUGCGAAAGCGUCUGCCAAGGAUGUUUUCAUUGA